UACGUAGGGUGCGAGCGUUACUCGGAAUUACUGGGCGUAAAGCGUGCGCAGGCGGCGCCGCAAGUCAGGCGUGAAAUCCCCGAGCUUAACUUGGGAAUGGCGCUUGAAACUACGGUGCUGGAGUGUGGCAGAGGGAGGUGGAAUUCCACGUGUAGCGGUGAAAUGCGUAGAGAUGUGGAGGAACACCGAUGGCGAAGGCAGCCUCCUGGGCCAACACUGACGCUCAUGCACGAAAGCGUGGGGAGCAAACAGG
RNAcentral lists this ribosomal RNA (253 nucleotides) under uncultured bacterium. Its description in RNAcentral is "partial 16S ribosomal RNA". It matches the Rfam family "Bacterial small subunit ribosomal RNA", at positions 524 to 776 of the family's 1533-position model. The record is from RNAcentral.